This 497-nucleotide ribosomal RNA is filed under the name uncultured bacterium. Its description in RNAcentral is "partial 16S ribosomal RNA". It matches the Rfam family "Bacterial small subunit ribosomal RNA", at positions 28 to 507 of the family's 1533-position model. The record is from RNAcentral.
GAUGAACGCUGGCGGCGUGCCUAAUACAUGCAAGUCGAGCGAACGGACGAGAAGCUUGCUUCUCUGAUGUUAGCGGCGGACGGGUGAGUAACACGUGGAUAACCUACCUAUAAGACUGGGAUAACUUCGGGAAACCGGAGCUAAUACCGGAUAAUAUUUUGAACCGCAUGGUUCAAAAGUGAAAGACGGUCUUGCUGUCACUUAUAGAUGGAUCCGCGCUGCAUUAGCUAGUUGGUAAGGUAACGGCUUACCAAGGCAACGAUGCAUAGCCGACCUGAGAGAGGGGUAGCCGACACGGGAACUGAGACACGGUCCAGACGCCUACGGGAGGCAGCAGUAGGGAAUCUUCCGCAAUGGGCGGAAGCCUGACGGAGCAACGCCGAGUGAGUGAUGAAGGUCUUCGGAUCGUAAAACUCUGUUAUUAGGGAAGAACAUAUGUGUAAGUAACUGUGCACAUCUUGACGGUACCUAAUCAGAAAGCCACGGCUAACUACGUG